Molecule: non-coding RNA, 24 nt
Filed under: Tribolium castaneum (red flour beetle)
Lineage: Eukaryota; Metazoa; Arthropoda; Insecta; Coleoptera; Tenebrionidae
Also listed under: 1 other name
Gene: tca-miR-100-5p
Source: miRBase by way of RNAcentral
AACCCGUAGAUCCGAACUUGUGGG